UGAAAUCUUCAAGUUGAUGGG
This 21-nucleotide non-coding RNA is filed under the name Caenorhabditis elegans. Lineage: Eukaryota; Metazoa; Nematoda; Chromadorea; Rhabditida; Rhabditidae. The record is from RNAcentral.